AUUGAACGCUGGCGGCGUGCCUAACACAUGCAAGUCGAGCGGGGGAGCAAUCCCUAGCGGCGGACGGGUGAGUAACGCGUGGGAACGUGCCCUUUGGUACGGAAUAGCCCUGGGAAACUGGGAGUAAUACCGUAUGUGCCCGAAAGGGGAAAGAUUUAUCGCCUUUGGAUCGGCCCGCGUUGGAUUAGGUAGUUGGUGGGGUAAUGGCCUACCAAGCCGACGAUCCAUAGCUGGUUUGAGAGGAUGAUCAGCAACACUGGGACUGAGACACGGCCCAGACUCCUACGGGAGGCAGCAGUGGGGAAUCUUAGACAAUGGGGGAAACCCUGAUCUAGCCAUGCCGCGUGAGCGAUGAAGGCCUUAGGGUUGUAAAGCUCUUUCACCGGGGAAGAUAAUGACGGUACCCGGAGAAGAAGCCCCGGCUAACUCCGUGCCAGCAGCCGCGGUAA
RNAcentral lists this ribosomal RNA (449 nucleotides) under uncultured bacterium. RNAcentral describes it as "partial 16S ribosomal RNA". It matches the Rfam family "Bacterial small subunit ribosomal RNA", at positions 30 to 523 of the family's 1533-position model. The record is from RNAcentral.